UGUAAAACGGACACAAAAACAAAGAAGAAAUGCACAUGAGACAACACAGUGAUAGAAGCCUUUUCUAAACAGUUUCCACUUUGUCUGGGAGAACCCUCCAGGUCAUCCAAAAUGGUGAGGCUGAAUCAUAACAGGUGGACUAUGUUUUGCAAAACUGAUUUGACACUGAGAAGAUGUACUGAUUGAAAUGACUGAACUGUGCUAUUUCAAGAUACUCUUUAAUUUUUUUUGGCAAAGCUAGAUAUACUUUCUGAGGUAGAAUAAUGUCUGUCUUAAUGAAUUCAUUAACAAGGUCAUAUAGUGCCUUAUUAUUCUGAUUUUAGGUAUAAAUUUUCACUUUUUAGAUUUUCUUAAAAUAAGUUAUGAUUAUGAUUAUGCUUAUUAUGAUAAUUUGUUUUGGCAUCUCCUAUGACUAUUAAAUUGAUGAUUUAAAAUACUUAUCCCCUAUGUAAGUUACAUAAUUAACUCAUGCUACAUUAUGAAAUAGUUUUUUCAUUCAAAAUUAAACUUCAAUUAUCCUUGCUUCUUUCUCUCCUUUUCUAAUCCAGCAAAUCAGAUCUAUUUUUAUGUUUACAUUUUUUAAUCAACUACACAUCCCUUUAAAUCUGU
RNAcentral lists this long non-coding RNA (609 nucleotides) under Pongo abelii (Sumatran orangutan). RNAcentral describes it as "lincRNA". The record is from RNAcentral. Lineage: Eukaryota; Metazoa; Chordata; Mammalia; Primates; Hominidae.